GACGAACGCUGGCGGCGUGCUUAACACAUGCCAGUCGAACGGAAAGGCCCUGCUUUUGUGGGGUGCUCGAGUGGCGAACGGGUGAGUAACACGUGAGUAACCUGCCCUUGACUUUGGGAUAACUUCAGGAAACUGGGGCUAAUACCGGAUAGGAGCUCCUGCUGCAUGGUGGGGGUUGGAAAGUUUCGGCGGUUGGGGAUGGACUCGCGGCUUAUCAGCUUGUUGGUGGGGUAGUGGCUUACCAAGGCUUUGACGGGUAGCCGGCCUGAGAGGGUGACCGGCCACAUUGGGACUGAGAUACGGCCCAGACUCCUACGGGAGGCAGCAGUGGGGAAUAUUGCACAAUGGGCGGAAGCCUGAUGCAGCAACGCCGCGUGCGGGAUGACGGCCUUCGGGUUGUAAACCGCUUUCGCCUGUGACGAAGCAUGAGUGACGGUAAUGGGUAAAGAAGCACCGGCUAACUACGUG
Molecule: ribosomal RNA, 468 nt
Filed under: uncultured bacterium
Lineage: Bacteria
Description: partial 16S ribosomal RNA
Rfam family: Bacterial small subunit ribosomal RNA
Source: RNAcentral